GAUGAACGCUGGCGGCGUGCCUAAUACAUGCAAGUCGAGCGAACAGACGAGGAGCUUGCUCCUCUGACGUUAGCGGCGGACGGGUGAGUAACACGUGGAUAACCUACCUAUAAGACUGGGAUAACUUCGGGAAACCGGAGCUAAUACCGGAUAAUAUAUUGAACCGCAUGGUUCAAUAGUGAAAGACGGUUUUGCUGUCACUUAUAGAUGGAUCCGCGCCGCAUUAGCUAGUUGGUAAGGUAACGGCUUACCAAGGCAACGAUGCGUAGCCGACCUGAGAGGGUGAUCGGCCACACUGGAACUGAGACACGGUCCAGACUCCUACGGGAGGCAGCAGUAGGGAAUCUUCCGCAAUGGGCGAAAGCCUGACGGAGCAACGCCGCGUGAGUGAUGAAGGUCUUCGGAUCGUAAAACUCUGUUAUUAGGGAAGAACAACUGUGUAAGUAACUAUGCACGUCUUGACGGUACCUAAUCAGAAAGCAACGGCUAACUACGUG
This 497-nucleotide ribosomal RNA is filed under the name uncultured bacterium. RNAcentral describes it as "partial 16S ribosomal RNA". It matches the Rfam family "Bacterial small subunit ribosomal RNA", at positions 28 to 507 of the family's 1533-position model. The record is from RNAcentral.